AUCAAGGCUUGCUGCUUGGGAGCGGGGAAUUCCUAUCAGGUAGUUGGUAGGAUGGCUUACCAAGCCGAAACGGGUAGCGGGUGUGAGAGCACGGCCGCGCAUCGAGACUGAGACACUGCUCGGACUCCUACGGAGGCUGAGUAACGAAUCUUCCGAAUGCGCGAAACGUGACGGGGCAAUGCGCGUGUAGAUGAAGCCCUUCGGGGUGUAAACAAUGUCAGUGUAGAACUCAAUGACCAUACCCAAAGGAAGCACCGGCUAACUCUGCGCCAGCAGCCGCGGUAAUACAGAGGGUGCGAGCGUUAAUCGGAAUCACUGGGCUUAAAGCGUUCGUAGGCGGAUCUGAAGGCGCUUUGUGAAAGCCCCCGGCUCAACCGGGGAACUGCUUGGCGAACCGCAGAUCUUGAGUCAAGUAGGGGCGGUCGGAACGAUAGGUGGAGCGGUGAAAUGCGUAGACAUCUAUCGGAACGCCGAAGGUGAAGACAGGCCGCUGGGCUUGUACUGACGCUGAGGAACGAAAGCGUGGGGAGCAAACGGGAUUAGAUACCCCGGUAGUCCACGCCGUAAACGAUGCGCACUAGGUCGGGGAGGCUUGACGCCCUCCUGGCCGAAGCAAAAGUGUUUAGUGCGCCGCCUGGGGAGUACGG
This 647-nucleotide ribosomal RNA is filed under the name uncultured bacterium. Its description in RNAcentral is "bacterial SSU rRNA". It matches the Rfam family "Bacterial small subunit ribosomal RNA", at positions 201 to 885 of the family's 1533-position model. The record is from RNAcentral.